UCUAGUUCGUCAAUACUACAUAUCAUUGGGUCAAAUGCUGUCUGACGUGUUUCAUACCGAUUGUUAAGCCGUUCUUGGCACACUAAUUUUGACUGUGGAUAACUCCAUUUACCUGAUCAGGAUAUGGGGUUCACGGCGGGUGUGACCGGUCAACAGGGAAUGCUUACUCCUCCUAGGCACCUGAUUCUACCUCUGGUGUGUCCAGGGGUCCGUGUUUGCCCAACUAUCUAUUUUAUAUUGCUUAUAGGAGUUAUGAGAUUGAUCACUGUUUGUUAUCUUCACCUUGUAUCAUGUCCGUGGAGGGUAAUGUGGGGUCAGAAAAAGGGACAAUUUUUACAGGUAUUGUAUGAGAACAUUCUUACACUUCUCAUGGUUAAGAGGACCACGAUUAGUCAUAUCAAUGGGCAAGGAUCCACAGCGACUGUGGUUACAAAAUUAUUUGACUCUCAUGGUGAACAGAGUGGUUUUAAGGCUUGUUGAGGUAAAAGGUAAUUAAAACUUUAUGCUUUGCUAUUAAAACAAUAUUUCUUAACCUGGAAAAUAGAAAAAUAAACAUGUUUUCAAGAGAAGCAGAGUCACAUUAUUCCAUCUACAUGAAUGUAGUGAAAAGUUUAAACAAAUUAUCCAGAACAGCAAGGUCAUGCUUGUCAUACUGAAAUUAAAGCAUCACCAUGUUUGGUAAAAUCAUAACUCAAUGGGGCUAGGUUGGGGUUGCAAUAUGGGAUAAAAAGUUCUCAUGUGAUUAAAGAGGAUAACAUAUUCUGAUUAAAAGCAACAGGGUUAAUGUGACUCAGGUGAGCGUUGUGGUCCACAAGCCUCUUGUUAGAAUUGUGUGACCUUCAACUCAUGUUCCAAAAAUUGUUCUCACAAAUAAAAGACAUCACAAAAUCAUUCACACCUGCUUCGUACUUACAGCAUGCAUAUAGUUCUAAAGCGCCAAACUGACCUUGUGACAAAUGGGAUCAAGAUCAAUUCAGCUGCUCCAUUUUCAGCUUUCCAAUUUGAUGUAGCAAUAUUCCAUUAUCACCUGCAUAUGGUGUUUACCUCUUUGAAUUGAUUUGAUACACACGACUUUACUCUGUGUAUAACCAGUUUUUAAAUCGAGGCAGCUGACUGACAAACAGGAUAAUGUAACAGGGUUUCGUGUAAAGUUAACGUUUAAAGCUAUCAUUUCGCAAAUCAUAUGGACAUUAUAACGAUCUAAUUUAUCAAUACAACCUGUCAAUGGCUCAAAAGCUGUCUAUCACGCUCCAUACUUAUGUUAGGCCCUUCUGUAUACACUCAUUUUAAAAUUACCUGUGUAUUGAUGUGAAAGAUAUAGUAAAUUUACAUUAAUUAUUUUAAUUUUCUCUACUGCAGACAUGACCUACAUACCUAGAAUGAAAUGGCGAGCACUAUCAAUCAAGACGCCUGAUGUGACACUGGAUCUCUGCCUGAUGUGACACAAAACAUCCACCUGAUUUGACACGGGACCUCCACCUGAUGUGACACGGGACCUCCACCUGAUUUGACAUGGGACUUCCACCUGAUGUGACACGGGACCUCUACCUGAUUUGACAUGGGACCUCCGCCUGAUGUAACACGGAGCCUUUGCUUGAUGUGACUCGGGACCUUUGUCUAACACGGGACCUUCGCCUGAUUCGACACCGGACAUCCCCUUAAGGGACACGGGACAUCCGUCUGAUGUGACAUGGGACCUCUGCCUAAUGUGACAAGGGACCUCCGGCUAAUGUGACAUGGAGCCUCCGCCUUGUAUGACACUGAACCUCCCUCUGAUAUGACACGGAACCGCCGUCUGAUUUGCCAUGAGGCCUUCACCUGAUGUGACACUGGACCUCCACCUGAUGUGACACGGGACCUCCACUUGAUUUGACAUGGGACCUCCACCUGAUGUGACACGAGACCUCCGCCUGAUGUGACACGAAGCCUUUGUUUGAUGUGACAUGGGACGUCCACCUGAUGUGACACGGGAUCUCCACCUGAUAUUACACGUGACAUCUGCCUGGAGACAUCCGCCUGAUGUGACACGAGACCUCCGCCUGAUCUGACACGAGACCUCUGCCUGAUGUGACAGGGAACCUCCGCCUAAUCGGACACGGGACAUCCGUCCGAUGUGACAUAGGACCUCUGCCUGAUUUGACACGGGACUUCCGCCUGAUGUGACACGAAAUCUCCACCUGAUGUGACACGAGACCUCCGCUUGAUGUGAUACGGAACCUCCGUUUUUAAGGUGCUAUCAGAAACGUCCGUGACUUUCUCUCCAAACGUCAUGUGCUUAUCGAAGGAACAGCCACAUCCUUUGUUAAAAGUCUUCUGUUCGAUCUAGCGCCAGGAUUCAGAGGCGAACCCGAUCCUCCCAAGAUGGCGAAAUAAGCACUUUAACUAUUGGUCUGUCGCGACCGAUCCAGAUCAUAGUUAUCCGAGUGGACGAAAUUGUGACAUACCAUAUUAUCUCAUCGCCGUUACAGGAAUGCUUAGCAGAUAUAAAAUCUUGGAUGAACGUCAACCUGCUGAAAUUAAACGAAGAAAAAACUGAAUUUAUAGUGUUUACUUCGAAAUAUUCAAACGUUUCACCAUCUUUUCAACUGUCUUUUGGAAAUACCAUUGUUUCCAACUCGGACUGUGUUCGAAACCUUGGUGUUUUCUUCGACAGUGUACUUUCUUUUAAAAAUCAUAUUAGUUCCAUCUCUCGUUCUUGUUAUUAUCAUCUACGGAAUAUUGCACGGAUUCGUUCUUUCAUCAAUGAUGACGCCUGCAAGACACUUAUAUGUUAUCUUGUGUUAUCACGCUUAGACUAUAAAAAUGCACUAUUUAAAGGGCUACCCCAAACAGAUCUGAGCAGGCUACAGACAAUCCAAAAUUCAGCAGCUCGACUUGUUGCUCGGGUCAGGAAGCAUGACCAUAUAUCACCGGUGCUUGUGUCCUUGUACUGGCUUCCAGUUGAUUCCCGUGUUGAAUACAAUAUUUUACUACACACAUACAAGGCACUAAACGGAAAGGCACCGGCCUACAUGUGUAUAUCAGCGACCUCAUCACUGUGUACGAACCAAAAUGAUCUCUGCGUUCAUGCAAUUCACGAUUGCUAGAAAAACCCUGCGUUCGUACAAAGACCUAUGGAGAUCGAAUGUUUGAUGUAACAGCUGCCACACUAUGGAACAGUUUACCGAUAGACAUCCGUUCGUGUGGCACUGUCAAAAGUUUUAAGACAAACCUCAAAACAUUUCUUUUUAGGAAAUCUUAUAACCAUAUUUUGUAAUAUAUUCUUUUUUAAAGUAAAGGCUGGUUUGUCGCAUGAACUCGUAAUGUUUAAAUUGUUUUAUUUUAUUUGGAUGUUAUCUUUUAUGCUCUGAUUAAUCUUAUCAUGUUUUACAUUUUACAUUGUUAAAGCGCUUAGGGUAAUUACACAAAUUAUAUAAUGCGCUAUAUAAAUGCCGCACAUAAUAAUAUAAUAAAGCAUGUUAUGAACUUUUAUCCACACCAACAGUACACAGUGUUUCAUCAUUGCACGGACAGGCAGACGAAUAAAAAUCUUAUCUUGAUAAGAUUGCACCUUAUAUCGGGCAAGCAUUCUGAGAGUAUUGCAUAAGCAAUACAUGCUGAAAGGUGGUACCAAGUCACCCUGUUUACCAGUGUGGAAUAAGUUAAAUUUUUCGUUGUUCAUGCAGUUGACGCAUAUUGUUUUCAUUAGGGAUGAAAUAGUCUUAGUCAGAACUCUAUGAUAUUUAAAUUUAAUGUAUAAACAUAUAGCAUAUUCUAAAUAUAGCAAAGUAAAUUUCUGUGUGAUAAAUUUAAUUUAAAAAACAACCAAGAAAAUUUGGUAUACUGGCAUCGUGAGACGUACCAUUUCCGAUGCAGUUAAAAAGCAUUCAGUCUGGGUCAUCGUCUUUGUAUAAAAUACGUAAUGAAAAAAGUCAAAUAAUCGUGGAAAUGGAACACAAAACAACACACAGAUAUAACAUUCAUUUCUGUAUUUGAAAUACUUAUAAAGGUUUUCUGAAAACCAAUUACUAUCAACUAUAUGAAGGCCAAUUUCAAAUCCUGUUCGUAAAACUAAUUACUAUCAACUAUUUGAAGGCCGAUUUGAUGUGAUGAAUUAAGUACUGCCGACUGAUCCGAUUUCGCUUACCUAUUACAAAGAUAUACUCGCGUGCUUAACAAAUUUGAUAUGCAUUUUCAUUAAUAUAUUCCUUUUUGCGAUUAAUGACCUUGAAAUCAAUGAAAUGAUUUCUUUUACACAAUCACCGAACAAGUUUCGACAACUACCUCUAUUCAGAGGUCCUACUUUUGCAGCCUUUCCAUCGGAACACAAUCCCAAUGGAUAUAAAAUCACAGAAUUAUAUAAAAAUGAAGUUCUUCAACACCUGUCCAUCAAACGAUACGAGAUUUGAACAUGACCUGUUGUUUGCCACUCAAACUACACUGCAAGUUUCAAAUGAAUCCUUGCAGGCAUAAUGGUUGGUUAUUUGGUUGUGUACGUCCCGUUGAGAAUUUUUCGCAGAAAGAUAAUUCGUACCCUCACGUAGGACCCAGGGUCACCCUAAUUUAGUAUGACCCAGGGCCACCCUAUUUUCUACACAGUUUACUACGUCAUUAAAAUAGUCCCACAUAAAAGUGAAAGUACAAUGCAGACGAUGUAUAAUGCACACUACCAAAGGAAAUGGAUAUUGAGCAAGUCAUAAUUGAUCAAUUACAUGUCAUCAUUUCUAAGCAAAAAAUGGUCUAAUCUUAAAAAAAAGAUGAUGCACUGCUAUCUGCAUCUCUCCACCAGAUUUUCCAAAAUACGAGAAUGUGAUAUGAACCUAGCUUAUAAUUAAAUACAAUACAGUGAAAUUGAAAUGAACUUGGAAUAUUAUCCUUUUAUUUAUCAAUUAUAUGCAAUUUAUUAACAGAUAAUUAUAAGAUAAUGUUGCACCUGGAAAGGGGGAGGUGGAAGGGGUGAUCUCUGGUCGCCUUCUGAUUUCAGACAUGAAAAUUAAAUUGUCACUAUGGAUUAUAUUGAUGCUACAACAGUGUCAAAGCGAAAUGUUUAGCUCACCUGAGCCAAAGAAUAAAAUGAGCUUAUUUGA
This is a long non-coding RNA of Ostrea edulis (European flat oyster), 5066 nucleotides long. RefSeq lists it as uncharacterized. The transcript is spliced from 2 exons. Lineage: Eukaryota; Metazoa; Mollusca; Bivalvia; Ostreida; Ostreidae. The record is from RefSeq and is a predicted model, not a curated record.